RNAcentral lists this ribosomal RNA (253 nucleotides) under uncultured bacterium. RNAcentral describes it as "partial 16S ribosomal RNA". It matches the Rfam family "Bacterial small subunit ribosomal RNA", at positions 524 to 776 of the family's 1533-position model. The record is from RNAcentral.
UACGUAGGGUGCAAGCGUUAAUCGGAAUUACUGGGCGUAAAGCGCACGUAGGCGGAUUGGAAAGUCAGAGGUGAAAUCCCAGAGCUCAACUUUGGAACUGCCUUUGAAACUCCCAGUCUUGAGGUCGAGAGAGGUGAGUGGAAUUCCGAGUGUAGAGGUGAAAUUCGUAGAUAUUCGGAGGAACACCAGUGGCGAAGGCGGCUCACUGGCUCGAUACUGACGCUGAGGUGCGAAAGCGUGGGGAGCAAACAGG